Long non-coding RNA from Psammomys obesus (fat sand rat), 1016 nucleotides. RefSeq lists it as uncharacterized. The record is from RefSeq and is a predicted model, not a curated record. Lineage: Eukaryota; Metazoa; Chordata; Mammalia; Rodentia; Muridae. The transcript has 3 exons.
CUGCCUGUGAGGUUUGCCCUGGGACACUCACUUCAGAGGGCUCAUCAGGAAGCGAUGCCUUUACAUACAGAAGAGAGACCCGCAGCAAUGCACGGGCUUGACCAAGGAAGUAUGGGGUCGGCGCUUCCUGGUCAGAGCUGAAAUACUUCCUAGAGCGAUAGUCCGCAUGAGAAGGUGCACACACAUGGUGAGGAAGACGGGUUCGGGUUGAAUGUUCGUGUGCAAGCAAAGGCACAGCCAAAUUCCACGCUCCUCAGAUCUGACUGACAGUUAAGAGUACCCACUCAGGAUUGUUCCUGAGGAGUCUGUUCCACCAGAGAGACCUACAGAUCCUUGGACUCUCCUGCAUAGCGAUGCAUCACUGUCAAGUUGGUCUGACUCUCCUGCAAGAAAGCUUCGGGCAUCAUUUUCCUGACAGAAAUGCCUGUGGCCCAGGUUCAAAAGAAGUCAGUGGCCAGGGAGGCUGGUGCCCUUCAGCUUUUAAACGUCUCAGCCACAGGUGGGGCCUUCACACUCAGGUGAAGAAGCCAACACAGCCAUUGCUACAGAGGUCCGGGAUCAGCCCUCGCCUCUCAGGGACAAGAAUGAGUCACAGCCAAUGAGUGGAGACAUUCCGCAAGUGAAAGAAGAAGCUCUCAUCGAAUGAGGGGGACCUGAAAAUGGAGCGCCAAGAGGACAGCUGCCAUUUUUAUACAUGGGAGUUGGGGGAAACAGCUUUGAUUGAUCUAAAGGAGAGGACACCAGGCUGGACGCCCUUGAUUGGCUCGUCUGUCCCCCACCUUUCCCCCCUUUCAUGAGUCACUAUGAGUUCGAGGGAGAGGGUUGUUUCCUAAAAUAACUUGCAUCCCUGGACUUUUCUUAACCUGAGCAUGUAGCAGGGUCUCAGGCCUGGGUCUUAACUUCUGGGUGCUCCUACAGGAUGGUCCUGGCUGUUGGCCUGUGUCACCUCAGGGGACAUACUCCUGUGAUUAGUCAGAGGCUCUUUGUCCCUAUUCACCUCAUUUUAGGGACCUCCC